This 400-nucleotide ribosomal RNA is filed under the name uncultured bacterium. Its description in RNAcentral is "bacterial SSU rRNA". It matches the Rfam family "Bacterial small subunit ribosomal RNA", at positions 356 to 773 of the family's 1533-position model. The record is from RNAcentral.
GGGGAAUCUUAGACAAUGGGCGCAAGCCUGAUCUAGCCAUGCCGCGUGAUCGAUGAAGGCCUUAGGGUUGUAAAGAUCUUUCAGAUGGGAAGAUAAUGACUGUACCAUCAGAAGAAGCCCCGGCUAACUCCGUGCCAGCAGCCGCGGUAAUACGGAGGGGGCUAGCGUUGUUCGGAAUUACUGGGCGUAAAGCGCACGUAGGCGGACUGGAAAGUCAGAGGUGAAAUCCCAGGGCUCAACCUUGGAACUGCCUUUGAAACUCUCAGUCUUGAGGUCGGGAGAGGUGAGUGGAAUUCCGAGUGUAGAGGUGAAAUGCGUAGAUAUUCGGAGGAACACCAGUGGCGAAGGCGGCUCACUGGCUCGAUACUGACGCUGAGGUGCGAAAGCGUGGGGAGCAAAC